This 389-nucleotide ribosomal RNA is filed under the name bacterium enrichment culture clone SRC_NBAn01. RNAcentral describes it as "bacterial SSU rRNA". It matches the Rfam family "Bacterial small subunit ribosomal RNA", at positions 182 to 589 of the family's 1533-position model. The record is from RNAcentral.
UUCUUCGCAUGAAGAAUUAGUCAAAGCGUAAAGCGGUGAAAGAUGGUCUCGCGUCCCAUUAGUUAGUUGGUGAGGUAACGGCUCACCAAGACCGCGAUGGGUAGCCGGCCUGAGAGGGUGAACGGCCACACUGGAACUGAGACACGGUCCAGACUCCUACGGGAGGCAGCAGUGGGGAAUAUUGCACAAUGGAGGAAACUCUGAUGCAGCGACGCCGCGUGAACGAUGAAGGCCUUCGGGUCGUAAAGUUCUGUCCUAGGGGACGAUAAUGACGGUACCCUAGGAGGAAGCCCCGGCUAACUACGUGCCAGCAGCCGCGGUAAUACGUAGGGGGCAAGCGUUGUCCGGAUUUAUUGGGCGUAAAGGGUGCGUAGGCGGCCUUUUAAGUC